AAUUUUUGCAGCCUUUCCUAUAGCGGCUGUAACUGGCCCAAUUUACCGGCCCGUUAUAAACCAAAAAAAUCAUGAUAAAACCAAAUAAAAUAUAAAGUCCAAUUUUAAACAAUCCCUUAACAGCUCAGUUACAAAACCCAAUUACGUUGACCCAAUACGGCCUAAAAAAAAAACCUAAAACCUAGCCCAAAAUUACACGGCCCGACAAGCCCAAAAAGUUAAACACUCAGAACCCUAGGGCUUCUGCUAGGCGCCGCAGUAGCCACCAAGCAGCCCUUCGUCCUCACCGCCAGCGCAGCACCGUACGACCACCUAGUGCCUCCGUACCUGCGAACCAAUGCAAACACAACAACAAAAAAAGAAAAAUAGGACAAAAAAGAUUGUAUUUUUCUUUAUUGUAUUUUUCUUAUUUGGCUAUAAAGCCAUUUUUCAUUUUCGAUUGUAAGGGGGAUUACAGAUGCAUAUUGGAAUACAAAAAAUCAAUUAAAAUUAGCAGAAGGUUGCGUUUUUUUUUAGUUUAUCUUGCUUUCGUUUGAUUUCAAGGGUGGAUUUACUUUGUUUGAUUUCAAGGGUGGAUUUACUUUGUGAUUGCAAAAAAAAUAUAAACGGAGGUAUUGAAACGCUUUUCGUUUUCAUAGAUCGAUCCCUCUUAUUUUCUAAAAUAGAUUUCAAAUGAUUUUCAUCUAGAUCUUUUUUAUCUUCUUCUAUUUUUGUUAAUGUAUAAAAAUAGAGAGAGGAGGGAAAGGGAAUACGCUUACCAGGCCUGCGUACGCGCUGUAAGCCACCAGAAGUGGAGAUGGUCCGGCGGCAACAUGAGGUUUGGGUGAAACCCUAGCAGAGAAGGUUAAGAAGUUAAAGUUUUUUUUUUAAAACAAAAGGUUUUGUUAUGAAAAAAAUUAAAUAAUAAGGAAAGAUUAAGGAAAAUUUGAAGCGCCACCAUGGGGGAAAGAGCCUGCGCAUUGACCCAGUGCGCAUUUCCACCCUAAAUGGGUAAUUUUGCAUGGCCAGUCCCUAUUAUUUGCGCAACCUUUAAUUUAACCCUAUUCUGUUUCUUUUAUUUUUUCCUUGAAAUUUGCGCACCACUUCACUUUAGUCCACUCUUGGGUGCUGUUUUUUUGGGUUAGGAACAUUUCGUUUUUAGUACUCGCACAUUCACGCGCAUUGCAC
RNAcentral lists this long non-coding RNA (1167 nucleotides) under Gossypium barbadense (sea-island cotton). RNAcentral describes it as "long non-coding RNA (GBAR_LNC011778)". The record is from RNAcentral. Lineage: Eukaryota; Viridiplantae; Streptophyta; Magnoliopsida; Malvales; Malvaceae.